RNAcentral lists this transfer RNA (72 nucleotides) under Sphaerodactylus townsendi. Its description in RNAcentral is "tRNA-Ala". The record is from RNAcentral. Lineage: Eukaryota; Metazoa; Chordata; Lepidosauria; Squamata; Sphaerodactylidae.
UGAGAUGUGACUCAGUGGUGGAGUGAAUGCCUGGCAUGCAGAGAGUCCUAGGUUCAACCGCUGGCAUCUUCA